This is a long non-coding RNA of Cephus cinctus (wheat stem sawfly), 948 nucleotides long. RefSeq lists it as uncharacterized. NCBI's taxonomy places the organism in Eukaryota, Metazoa, Arthropoda, Insecta, Hymenoptera, Cephidae. The record is from RefSeq and is a predicted model, not a curated record. The transcript has 3 exons.
GUCAACGUAUACGUCUGGCCGCGUGCAAGUAAGAGAGCACAUACAUAAUUCAUACAAUUAGCGGACAUGUCCGCUGCCCGGUUGCAGCAGGGGUAGCGCUCGAAUUCGCCCAGGGUAGUAGUGGCCAUGGACCAAGCCGUAGUAGCAUCAGCCGUGGCUGCAGUAGCACUGGCAGCGGCUAGGGGUUCAAAUUCGGCUCUAGAUGGGAUCCGCAGAGGGAAAUCGUGGUGGCGCGAAACGGGGGUUGAUAUCGAACGUAAACGAGCUAGGUAUGCGUUACUUAUACAUUUGUGUCCGCUAUACCAUGCCCACCCCUAUAUAUAUUUUCAUGUGUACCUAUAUGUCUAUAUAUUUAUCUAUACCUAAUGCAACCAAGUUCAUGCGAGUACGACUUCGUCGCUCUGCCCUGUAAUCACGAAUCGCACGCUGUAAUAAUUAUUGUCGCGGCUCUGUCAUCAGCGGCUAUAUCCACGUACCACUACGAUCCAUUCUGGUCCGAUGGGGGCAGACUCAUACUACUUUGGAAAAGUGGCCUCGUCAAGGCGCAUUGUACGCCGGUUUUAUAAUCAGUACGUUCUCGUUACGUUUAUUCAAUUGGGAAUUUGCUGACGGCACCAGAGAGGGGACGCUACAUCUAUUAUCGCCCGUGACGUCCUACGAGCUUCUUCGACGAUCAGCCGCUGAGACUUUUAUUUUAUUGGAUCUCUGACAGCUGUAACCACCAUGGAGCGAUAAGGCUUUUAACGAGAAGAAAGGAGAUACGCCUGGCUGUGGAUACGAGGGAUCUGGAGAUUUUUCAGUGCCGACUAAUGGCCUAGGACAUUAAUCGAAACGCAUGUCAAAGCCGUGGCGAAGAGUCCUGGUUCCCCAGCAACCCUCUCGGCGUCGUCCCGUCUCGAAACGAUAACUCAGCGAUAAUAGCAGCCCGUCUGUACAGGAGGGAUUUAA